This 471-nucleotide ribosomal RNA is filed under the name uncultured bacterium. Its description in RNAcentral is "bacterial SSU rRNA". It matches the Rfam family "Bacterial small subunit ribosomal RNA", at positions 28 to 492 of the family's 1533-position model. The record is from RNAcentral.
GAUGAACGCUAGCGGCAGGCCUAAUACAUGCAAGUCGAGCGGCAAGUCGAGGAGUAAUCUAAGACCUAGAGCGGCGCACGGGUGCGUAACGCGUAUGCAACCUACCUUAUACUGGGGGAUAGCCCGGAGAAAUCUGGAUUAAUACCCCAUGGCACAUAUUGAUGGCAUCUGAGAUAUGUUAAAGAUUUAUUGGUAUAAGAUGGGCAUGCGUCUGAUUAGCUAGUUGGCGGUGUAACGGACCACCAAGGCGACGAUCAGUAGGGGUUCUGAGAGGAAGGUCCCCCACACUGGCACUGAGAUACGGGCCAGACUCCUACGGGAGCAGCAGUAGGGAAUAUUGGGGCAAUGGUCGGAAGACUGACCCAGCCAUGCCGCGUGCAGGAAGACGGCCCUCUGGGGUUGUAAAACUGCUUUUANCUGGGAAGAAAAAAGGCCAUGCGUGGCAAAUUGCCGGUACCAGAUGAAUAAGCA